This 266-nucleotide long non-coding RNA is filed under the name Brassica napus (rape). RNAcentral's name for it is "long non-coding RNA (BNAP_LNC011287)". Lineage: Eukaryota; Viridiplantae; Streptophyta; Magnoliopsida; Brassicales; Brassicaceae. The record is from RNAcentral.
UUUCGGAAACGCUAUGAUAGAGUGGUAUAUUUAGAAACGCUACGAAAACUUAGAAUUUAAUAGCAAAACAUAAUAAAAUGUUAUGUUUGCCUUUCGAACCCCUAAACCUUAAACACGUUUUUAAACCCUAAACUCUAAAUACAAAACUUAACUCUAAUAUUUUAACAUCAAAACUUAAAUUUAGAUCCAAAUCUUAAAUAUAAACUGAAAAAUCAAUCUUUAAAAAAAAAUUAAUCUCAAAUCUUAAAUUCAAUACCUCCAAACUC